GUAGUUUGUACUCCUUAGUCCUCUUUCCCUAUCUUGCCCCUAACUCUUUCCCUCUUCCCAUGGGUAACCACUAGUUUGUUCUCUGUAUGUGUGAGUCUGUCUCAGUUUUGUAAUAUUCAUUUCUUUUAUUUUGUUAAGUGGC
This is a long non-coding RNA of Aethalodelphis obliquidens (Pacific white-sided dolphin), 142 nucleotides long. RefSeq lists it as uncharacterized. Lineage: Eukaryota; Metazoa; Chordata; Mammalia; Artiodactyla; Delphinidae. The transcript has 3 exons. The record is from RefSeq and is a predicted model, not a curated record.